Molecule: long non-coding RNA, 544 nt
Filed under: Olea europaea subsp. europaea
Lineage: Eukaryota; Viridiplantae; Streptophyta; Magnoliopsida; Lamiales; Oleaceae
Source: RNAcentral
CUCACCUUCACUCCCAACUCUAAAUCAGAAAUCCACUGUCACCAACAACCAUCCUAACCUCAUGGAAUGGACUUCAACAGACCCAAGUUGUGGUCAGUAAUUCGACUCGAAUAAUGGGAAAAUUGCAAUUUUUCAAUUCCCAUUUUGACACAACAAUGGCAAAAGAUGAGGUAAUUUCACCGAUUCUAUACUAAUUUCUUCUAUUUAAUCUAAAAAAUUUUGCCCUUUUUUCGCCGUGAGUUCAUGGUGGCUACAACUAGUCAAAGCUACUGCCAUUUUGUUCAAGGUUUUCAACUGCCAUUUUGAUGAUGUUGAUGGGGGGAUUCGAGACGUGUUGAUGGAGAAUUUGAUGAUGUUGAUGGGUAGCUAAAGGAACGAAAAUGGUGGCAAUUUUGGGUGAUGGAUGAAAGUCAAGGGAAUGGUGGUAGUUUUGGACGAUGGAGAAGGCAGUGGAAUGGUGGUGGCCUUCGUUGAUGGUUGAAAGCAAGGGAUGAGGGGAAAACAGAAAGAAGAUUCCUGAUUUUAGGUUAGGGUUGGCGUCGGG